RNAcentral lists this long non-coding RNA (1332 nucleotides) under Mus musculus (house mouse). Its description in RNAcentral is "predicted gene 3287". Lineage: Eukaryota; Metazoa; Chordata; Mammalia; Rodentia; Muridae. The record is from RNAcentral.
AGCUGCAAGGUGCUCAGUGUUGUGACAAGCUGUGGGUCCUCAAAGCUGAGUACUGAAGGCUGAUUUCUGCUUCUGUUUUCAAGCCUUUCUGGACCCACUGAGGGAAGACAUUUUGUUGCUUGAAUUCAGAGGAGAAAGACAAGGGUGUUCCAGUGGCCAGCAUCCUCCUUCCUCCUGAUUUUUCAUAACAAGUGGUCAUUUCACACAGAAAUCCUGGGAGGUGAGCUGUAAAGAAUAAGCUUGGAUGGACAAGUGAGUGGCCUCUCGGCUUUGGGUGGGGGACACUGGUCCCUACUCUGGAGGAAAAAGCUGACAUAGACAGCUGCAAGGUGCUCAGUGUUGUGACAAGCUGUGGGUCCUCAAAGCUGAGUACUGAAGGCUGAUUUCUGCUUCUGUUUUCAAGCCUUUCUGGACCCACUGAGGGAAGACAUUUUGUUGCUUGAAUUCAGAGGAGAAAGACAAGGGUGUUCCAGUGGCCAGCAUCCUCCUUCCUCCUGAUUUUUCAUAACAAGUGGUCAUUUCACACAGAAAUCCUGGGAGCUGCAAGGUGCUCAGUGUUGUGACAAGCUGUGUGUCCUCAAAGCUGAGUACUGAAGGUUGAUUUCUGCUUCUGUUUUCAAGCCUUUCUGGACCCACUGAGGGAAGACAUUUUGUUGCUUGAAUUCAGAGGAGAAAGACAAGGGUGUUCCAGUGGCCAGCAUCCUCCUUCCACCUUAUUUUUCAUAACAAGUGGUCAUUUCACACAGAAAUCCUGGGAGCUGCAAGGUGCUCAGUGUUGUGACAAGCUGUGGGUCCUCAAAGCUGAGUACUGAAGGCUGAUUUCUGCUUCUGUUUUCAAGCCUUGCUGGACCCACUGAGGGAAGACAUUUUGUUGCUUGAAUUCAGAGGAGAAAGACAAGGGUGUUCCAGUGGCCAGCAUCCUCCUUCCACCUGAUUUUUCAUAACAAGUGGUCAUUUCACACAGAAAUCCUGGGAGCUGCAAGGUGCUCAGUGUUGUGACAAGCUGUGGGUCCUCAAAGCUGAGUACUGAAGGCUGAUUUCUGCUUCUGUUUUCAAGCCUUUCUGGACCCACUGAGGGAAGACAUUUUGUUGCUUGAAUUCAGAGGUCAACAUUUGUUUGUCUUUUUUCAUACUGACCUUUUUUAAAGGCAGUUUUUUAAAUGACAUUCCUGCACUGCAGUAAAUUUUCUUUUCCUUUCUCAUUAACACUCAUCCCUGUCACAUGCAGACAUUUGAUAUGUGUUAAGUGUACAGUGCACAUUGUGAGUGCUUCUUCUAACUUUUUCUGUCCAAAUUCUCCUAUCUGUGUCAUUAAACUUUAUUUUAAGUGUA